RNAcentral lists this ribosomal RNA (484 nucleotides) under uncultured bacterium. RNAcentral describes it as "partial 16S ribosomal RNA". It matches the Rfam family "Bacterial small subunit ribosomal RNA", at positions 30 to 507 of the family's 1533-position model. The record is from RNAcentral.
AUUGAACGCUGGCGGCAGGCCUAACACAUGCAAGUCGAGCGGAUGAAGGGAGCUUGCUCCUGGAUUCAGCGGCGGACGGGUGAGUAAUUCCUAGGAAUCUGCCUUGUAGUGGGGGAUAACGUCCGGAAACGGGCGCUAAUACCGCAUACGUCCUGAGGUAUAAAGUGGGGGAUCUUCUGACCUCACUCUAUCAGAUGAGCCUAGGUCGGAUUAGCUAGUUGGUGGGGUAAAGGCCUACCAAGGCGACGAUCCGUAACUGGUCUGAGAGGAUGAUCAGGAACACUGGAACUGAGACACGGUCCAGACUCAUACGGGAGGCAGCAGUGGGGAAUAUUGGACAAUGGGCGAAAGCCUGAUCCAGACAGGCCGCGUGGGGGAAGAAGGUCUUCGGAUUGUAAAGCACUUUAAGUUGGGAGGAAGGGCAGUAAGUUAAUAACUUGCUGUUUUGACGUUACCAACAGAAUAAGCACCGGCUAACUUCGCG